This 526-nucleotide ribosomal RNA is filed under the name uncultured bacterium. RNAcentral describes it as "bacterial SSU rRNA". It matches the Rfam family "Bacterial small subunit ribosomal RNA", at positions 524 to 1050 of the family's 1533-position model. The record is from RNAcentral.
UACGUAGGGUGCGAGCGUUGUCCGGAUUUAUUGGGCGUAAAGAGCUUGUAGGCGGUCGGUCACGUCGAAAGUGCAAACUCAGGGCUUAACCCUGAGCCUGCUUUCGAUACGGGCUGACUAGAGGAAGGUAGGGGAGAAUGGAAUUCCCGGUGGAGCGGUGGAAUGCGCAGAUAUCGGGAGGAACACCAGUGGCGAAGGCGGUUCUCUGGACCUUUCCUGACGCUGAGAAGCGAAAGCGUGGGGAGCAAACAGGCUUAGAUACCCUGGUAGUCCACGCCGUAAACGGUGGGUACUAGGUGUGGGGGACAUUCCACGUUCUCUGUGCCGUAGCUAACGCAUUAAGUACCCCGCCUGGGGAGUACGGCCGCAAGGCUAAAACUCAAAGGAAUUGACGGGGCCCCGCACAAGCGGCGGAGCAUGCGGAUUAAUUCGAUGCAACGCGAAGAACCUUACCUGGGUUUGACAUAUACCGGAAACGCCUAGAGAUAGGCGCCCCGCAAGGUCGGUAUACAGGUGGUGCAUGGCU